This 501-nucleotide ribosomal RNA is filed under the name uncultured bacterium. Its description in RNAcentral is "partial 16S ribosomal RNA". It matches the Rfam family "Bacterial small subunit ribosomal RNA", at positions 30 to 523 of the family's 1533-position model. The record is from RNAcentral.
AUUGAACGCUGGCGGCAGGCUUAACACAUGCAAGUCGAGCGGGGGAAGGUAGCUUGCUACCGGACCUAGCGGCGGACGGGUGAGUAAUGCUUAGGAAUCUGCCUAUUAGUGGGGGACAACAUCUCGAAAGGGAUGCUAAUACCGCAUACGUCCUACGGGAGAAAGCAGGGGAUCUUCGGACCGUGCGCUAAUAGAUGAGCCUAAGGCGGAUUAGCUAGUUGGUGGGGUAAAGGCCUACCAAGGCGACGAUCUGUAGCGAGUCUGAGAGGAUGAUCCGCCACACUGGGACUGAGACACGGCCCAGACUCCUACGGGAGGCAGCAGUGGGGAAUAUUGGACAAUGGGGGGAACACUGAUCCAGCCAUGCCGCGUGUGUGAAGAAGGCCUUAUGGUUGUAAAGCACUUUAAGCGAGGAGGAGGCUACUCUAGUUAAUACCUAGGGAUAGUGGACGUUACUCGCAGAAUAAGCACCGGCUAACUCUGUGCCAGCAGCCGCCGUAA